Molecule: ribosomal RNA, 484 nt
Filed under: uncultured bacterium
Lineage: Bacteria
Description: partial 16S ribosomal RNA
Rfam family: Bacterial small subunit ribosomal RNA
Source: RNAcentral
AUUGAACGCUGGCGGCAGGCCUAACACAUGCAAGUCGAGCGGAUGAAGGGAGCUUGCUCCUGGAUUCAGCGGCGGACGGGUGAGUAAUGCCUAGGAAUCUGCCUGGUAGUGGGGGAUAACGUCCGUAAACGGGCGCUAAUACCGCAUACGUCCUUAGGGAGAAAGUGAGGGAUCUUCAGACCUCACGCUAUCUGAUGAGCCUAGGUCGGAUUAGCUAGUUGGUGGGGUAAAGGCCUACCAAGGCGACGAUCCGUAACUGGUCUGAGAGGAUGAUCAGUCACACUGGAACUGAGACACGGUCCAGACUCCUACGGGAGGCAGCAGUGGGGAAUAUUGGACAAUGGGCGAAAGCCUGAUCCAGCCAUGCCGCGUGUGUGAAGAAGGUCUUCGGAUUGUAAAGCACUUUAAGUUGGGAGGAAGGACAGUAAGUUAAUACCUUGAUGUUUUGACGGUACCAACAGAAUAAGCACCGGCUAACUUCGUG